This 58-nucleotide transfer RNA is filed under the name Proasellus beticus. Its description in RNAcentral is "transfert RNA-F(TTC)". Lineage: Eukaryota; Metazoa; Arthropoda; Malacostraca; Isopoda; Asellidae. The record is from RNAcentral.
ACUUGGGUAGUUUAAUUAGAAUAUGACGUUGAAAGCGUCAAGGUGUUUUCUCUAAGUG